AUCAACCAACAAACGCCGCUGAU
Molecule: non-coding RNA, 23 nt
Filed under: Arabidopsis thaliana (thale cress)
Lineage: Eukaryota; Viridiplantae; Streptophyta; Magnoliopsida; Brassicales; Brassicaceae
Source: RNAcentral